AAAUACAUAAGAAUUCCAUGUUUUACAACUAAUCUCAACAAAUAGGAAAAGCCCUCCAUGGAGGAGAACUUAGGGUUCUACAAAUUGAAGAGAUAAGGAAGAAAUUGGAACCAAAGAGAAGAUGCAAAGCCUUUCCCAAGGUUCUUGGCAGCUGCUCCAUGCUCCAUUUGCGCCUCCCCUUCGCAUCUCCAUCUCCAAUUUGUGAC
Molecule: long non-coding RNA, 206 nt
Filed under: Vigna radiata
Lineage: Eukaryota; Viridiplantae; Streptophyta; Magnoliopsida; Fabales; Fabaceae
Description: long non-coding RNA (VRAD_LNC005583)
Source: RNAcentral